UUGAUAAUACCAUAUUAUUAGGUUAGACUUGAAACUAAAAAUAUCAUCACCAUCAUCAUUACCAUAUUAUAAUAUCAAUCAAUAAUAUAAUUUUGGGAUGACGAUUAUGAAUCUAUGAGAAUGCUGCUGCUUCUUUUUUUUACCUAUCAUUCUUUGUUGUUGUGAUUUCAGUACAUGAUGAUGAUGAUGGAUGAUGGUAAAU
RNAcentral lists this ribosomal RNA (202 nucleotides) under Heterosigma akashiwo. Its description in RNAcentral is "partial Eukaryotic small subunit ribosomal RNA". The record is from RNAcentral. Lineage: Eukaryota; Raphidophyceae; Chattonellales; Chattonellaceae.